CCAAAGCUGGGAUGUGCAGUGGAAUGGGCUGUCCCAAAGCAGGGAUGUGCAGUGGGAUGGGCUGUCCCAAAGCUGGGAUGUGCAGUAGGAUGAGCUGUCCCAAAGCUGGGAUGUGCAGUGGGAUGGGCUGUCCCAAAGCUGGGAUGUGCAGUAGGAUGAGCUGUCCCAAAGCUGGGAUGUGCAGUGGGAUGGGCUGUCCCAAAGCGGGCAGAGCUGUCCCAAAGCAGGGAUGUGCAGUGGGAUGAGCUGUCCCAAAGCUGGGAUGUGCAGUAGGAUGAGCUGUCCCAAAGCUGGGAUGUGCAGUGGGAUGGGCUGUCCCAAAGCGGGGAGGUGCAGCGGGAUGGGCUGUCCCAAAUCAGGGAUGUGCAGCGGGAUGAGCUGUCCCAAAGCGGGCAGAGCUGUCCCAAAGCUGAGAUGUGCAGUGGGAUGGGCUGUCCCAAAGCAGGGAUGUGCAGUGGGAUGGGCUGUCCCAAAGCGGGCAGAGCUGUCCCAAAGCUGGGAUGUGCAGUGGGAUGGGCUGUCCCAAAGCGGGCAGAGCUGUCCCAAAGCUGGGAUGUGCAGUAGGAUGAGCUGUCCCAAAGCGGGCAGAGCUGUCCCAAAGCUGAGAUGUGCAGUGGGAUGGGCUGUCCCAAAGCAGGGAUGUGCAGUGGGAUGGGCUGUCCCAAAGCGGGCAGAGCUGUCCCAAAGCAGGAAUGUGCAGUGGGAUGAGCUGUCCCAAAGCGGGCAGAGCUGUCCCAAAGCUGGGAUGUGCAGUGGGAUGAACUGUCCCAAAGCAGGGAUGUGCAGUGGGAUGGGCUGUCCCAAAGCGGGCAGAGCUGUCCCAAAGCUGGGAUGUGCAGUGGGAUGGGCUGUCCCAAAGCGGGCAGAGCUGUCCCAAAGCAGGAAUGUGCAGUGGGAUGAGCUGUCCCAAAGCGGGCAGAGCUGUCCCAAAGCUGGGAUGUGCAGUAGGAUGGACUGUCCCAAAGCGGGGAGGUGCAGCGGGAUGAACUGUCCCAAAGCUGGCAUGUGCAGUGGGAUGGGCUGUCCCAAAGCGGGCAGAGCUGUCCCAAAGCUGGGAUGUGCAGUAGGAUGAGCUGUCCCAAAGCUGGGAUGUGCAGUAGGAUGAGCUGUCCCAAAGCUGGGAUGUGCAGUGGGAUGGGCUGUCCCAAAGCGGGGAGGUGCAGUGGGAUGGGCUGUCCCAAAGCUGGGAUGUGCAGUAGGAUGAGCUGUCCCAAAGCUGGGAUGUGCAGUGGGAUGAGCUGUCCCAAAGCCGAAGGCACGCACAGCUCACGGUUUCACUGCUCCGCUCUGCGGUUACCGGGAUCCACAGCUGCUGCCCCAGCCGGACCAGAAUGGCUGCAGUGAUACAAGUUCCUAACGGGGACGCUAUUUCAGAAGAUUUGGAAAACAAAAAUAAGGCUCUUUGCAUGGCCAGAACAGCUGCCCUGGCGUGCUGCUCCCUCGGCAUCCUCGCGGGAAAUUCAAGGGUUUUCCAAAAACCUGGAAAAGGUGCCUCAGUGGAUAAGGACACUGAACUGCUCCAUGCACUGGUGGGAAGGAGCGGGGGCUGGCUCAGCUCCUCUCCAGUCCUGGCUCAAUCUGCUCGGUCCUACCGUGGAUGACUCACUGGGCUCACAAGACCAAACUGCUCCUGGCUGCUCUGUUUCCUCUCAAAGGAAGUUACAUUUUUAUUCAUGGUAGUUCUUCCUAAUUGCCCUUUAGGAGCAAGUUCAUGGUGCAUCCAAAGAAACCACCUUGAAAAUGCAUUAAAUAUAGGUUGUACCAGUUUAAUUAGGAUAAGUUUAAAUGUCUCCUGAAAUUAAACCAGUGCAUAUUUCUUCAAGAAAGUAGCCAGUGAAAAUACUGAAGGUCCAAAGGCGUGGUAGGGUGUAUGAGAGGAGAUGGUGCAGUGCAUGAAUGGGAAAGUACAGCAGUAUUUAUGAAAAGCAGAAUUAAAUGUGCACAAGAGAUCUAUACAUCAAAAACUUGCUUAGAAAAUGAGCAUUGCUUUAGUGGAUGGAGUGCUACAGCUAAAUAAAAUUUGGAUUUUUAACAAA
Molecule: long non-coding RNA, 2036 nt
Organism: Haemorhous mexicanus (house finch)
Lineage: Eukaryota; Metazoa; Chordata; Aves; Passeriformes; Fringillidae
Exons: 2
Source: RefSeq, a predicted model, not a curated record